Molecule: ribosomal RNA, 479 nt
Filed under: uncultured bacterium
Lineage: Bacteria
Description: bacterial SSU rRNA
Rfam family: Bacterial small subunit ribosomal RNA
Source: RNAcentral
GACGAACGCUGGCGGCAUGCCUAACACAUGCAAGUCGAACGGAACUUGUUGAAUGAAGUUUUCGGAUGGAUUUUGACAAGUUUAGUGGCGGACGGGUGAGUAACGCGUGAGCAACCUGCCUUUCAGAGGGGGACAACAGUUGGAAACGACUGCUAAUACCGCAUGAUGUGUCGGGAUCGCAUGAUCUUGACACCAAAGAUUUUAUCGCUGAAAGAUGGGCUCGCGUACGAUUAGAUAGUUGGUGAGGUAACGGCUCACCAAGUCGACGAUCGUUAGCCGGACUGAGAGGUUGAACGGCCACAUUGGGACUGAGACACGGCCCAGACUCCUACGGGAGCAGCAGUGAGGAAUAUUGCACAAUGGGCGAAAGCCUGAUGCAGCAACGCCGCGUGAGCGAUGAAGGCCUUCGGGUCGUAAAGGCUCUUUUAGCAGGACGAAGAACGUGACGGUACCUGCNGAAAAGCAACGGCUAACUACGU